CGAGCGCGGGAAGCAAACUGAAUCCUUCGGGAGGACGUUUGUGGAACGAGCGGCGGACGGGUGAGUAACACGUGGGCAACCUGCCUGUAAGACUGGGAUAACUCCGGGAAACCGGGGCUAAUACCGGAUAACUCAUCGGAUCGCAUGAUCCGAGGUUGAAAGAUGGCUUCUUGCUAUCACUUACAGAUGGGCCCGCGGCGCAUUAGCUAGUUGGUGAGGUAACGGCUCACCAAGGCCACGAUGCGUAGCCGACCUGAGAGGGUGAUCGGCCACACUGGGACUGAGACACGGCCCAGACUCCUACGGGAGGCAGCAGUAGGGAAUCAUCCGCAAUGGACGAAAGUCUGACGGUGCAACGCCGCGUGAGUGAGGAAGGCCUUCGGGUCGUAAAACUCUGUUGUUAGGGAAGAACAAGUUCCGUUCGAAUAGGGCGGAGCCUUGACGGUACCUAACCAGAAAGCCACGGCUAACUACGUGCCAGCAGCCGCGGUAAUACGUAGGUGGCAAGCGUUGUCCGGAAUUAUUGGGCGUAAAGCGCGCGCAGGCGGUUCCUUAAGUCUGAUGUGAAAGCCCACGGCUCAACCGUGGAGGGUCAUUGGAAACUGGGGAACUUGAAGACAGAAGAGGAGAGCGGAAUUCCACGUGUAGCGGUGAAAUGCGUAGAUAUGUGGAGGAACACCAGUGGCGAAGGCGGCUCUCUGGUCUGUGCUUGACGCUGAGGCGCGAAAGCGUGGGGAGCGAACAGGAUUAGAUACCCUGGUAGUCCACGCCGUAAACGAUGAGUGCUAGGUGUUAGGGGUUUUCCACCCCUUAGUGCUGCAGUUAACGCAAUAAGCACUCCGCCUGGGGGAGUACGGCCGCAAGGCUGAACUCAAAGGAAUUGACGGGGGCCCGCCACAGCGGUGGAGCAUGUGGUUUAAUUCGAAGCAACGCGAGAACUUACCAGGUCUUGACCUCUCGGACAACCAAAAGAUAGGUCUUCCUCCGGGACCGAUGACAGGUGGGCAUGGUUGUCGUCGCUUGGUCUGGGGAUGUUGG
This 1038-nucleotide ribosomal RNA is filed under the name Halobacillus sp. Y2. RNAcentral describes it as "bacterial SSU rRNA". It matches the Rfam family "Bacterial small subunit ribosomal RNA", at positions 43 to 1078 of the family's 1533-position model. Lineage: Bacteria; Bacillati; Bacillota; Bacilli; Caryophanales; Bacillaceae. The record is from RNAcentral.